RNAcentral lists this long non-coding RNA (14254 nucleotides) under Malus domestica (apple). RNAcentral's name for it is "long non-coding RNA (MDOM_LNC010028)". Lineage: Eukaryota; Viridiplantae; Streptophyta; Magnoliopsida; Rosales; Rosaceae. The record is from RNAcentral.
CCACUUGUCAUCAUCUCAAUAUGACAAAUGUAAGGUUGAGAUGCUAUAGUAGUAGAUAAGAUGGUUGUAAGUUGUUAGAUGAUAGCUUACAAAGGAAGCUAAGUAGUUUACAUAUAAGGAAGUCGGUUGUAAUUGGGAGGGGGUCAUUGGAAUAAUCUCUGUUUAAUACAAGAAAGUACUACGCAAUUGUCAAGAAGCCGAGCAAGGUUUUAACAUUGGUAUUAGCCAGUGUCGAUUCCUCUCAAUCUUUCAUUGUUGUAUGCCCCGCCGACCCUGGAACACCAUGGAAUCGCGAGUGUCAACUUUGGAAACCAUGCUCGCCAAUCUCAAAGCUAAGCUCAAGAACAACCAAGAGAUGAUCAUGAUGCAGCUGCAAUCUAUGGCAGCCAAAGGCGGUUCUUGCAGCGGCGAAUCGUCCGAGGCAACACCGCUGAAUCCUCAGAUACAGGGCGAAGUACAAUGUGGUAGCCACGAUUUGGGUCUUCAAAAUUGCUGGGCAUUUCUGAAAAUGGACUUUCCAAGGUUCAUGGAAGGUGAUGAUCCUUUGGGUUGGGUCUAUAAAGGCGACCAUUAUUUCGAUUUCUACCACAUCGAAGAUGCUAAGAAGGUGAAAAUGGCUUCAUUCCACAUGGAAGGGGAAGCUCUUCAAUGGUUCCAGUGGGCCAAUUGUCUAACCAAUUAUCCUAAUUGGGAGGAUUUCACCAAGGUUUUUUGUCAAGAAUUUGGACCUUCCGAAUUCGAGGACUCUGCUGAAAGUUUGGUCAAGUUACGGCAAACUGGGACACUCCGAGAUUACUUGUUGGAAUUUUGACAUUUAUCGAAUCGUACCAAAGAUAUCAGCCUUGCUUUGUUGAAAUCUUGUUUCAUUGGGGGUCUUAGGCCGGAAUUGCAACUUGAUGUGAAGCUCUUCAAACCUAAGGAUGUGCUGGAAGUUGCUGCAUUAUCUCAGCAGAUCGAUGCCAAGCUUACAGAUCUCAAGGUGAAAACUUUCUAUAAAUCACCUACAAUUCAACCCAAUUUUAGAUCACCAGUUUUGCAGAAUGUUAGUAACCAAACAUUGGCUGAUAUUCGUACUAAAACUCCUAAUGUACGAUGAUUGACCCCAGAAGAAGUGGAUUAUUGUUGAAAUAAUGGAUUGUGUUUUCACUGUAAGGAGAAAUAUGUGAGGGGCCAUACUUGUGAAAAGAAACAGUUGCAUCUUCUUGAUGUUCAAGACUGUGAGAUGGGUGAUGAGUGUGCUGAGGAAGUAGAGAAUGAGGAACCAGAGAUAACUGUUUGUGCUAUUUUUGGCAUCCCAGCUCCACCUAUAAUUAAUACUAUGAAGGUCAAUGGAUUUGUUAAAAACUGUCCAGUCACUAUACUCAUUGAUUCUAGUAGUUCUCAUAACCUUGUUGAUUUGGGAUUAGUUAAAAGACUCAGGGGGUAUCUUGAUACUGCAUAUCUUUUCAAUGUUAAACUGCAAAUGGGGGACGAGUUGCUACGAAAGGAACAUUAGCUCCUACUGUGAAAAUUUAGGAUUUCAGUUGUAUAACUGAUCUCUAUGCCAUUCCUUUAGGGGGUUGUGAAAUUGUAUUGGGGGUACAAUGGCUUCGAACCCUUGGCCCCAUUCUCUGGGAUUUCGAUAAACUUUACAUGAAAUUCUUAAAUGGGUCUCUCAUACAUAUUGUAUUACAAGUCCAGGAUCUUCCUUACAUCAGCUUGAAGACAUAUCAGCAUUGCAGAUGCAAAAACUUUUGCAGUAGGAAAACACAAUAGGAGCAGUUCUUUAUCAAAUGGGACCUACUACUAUGCAAUGUUAUUCUCCGGAGCAAACAUUGGGGGAUCUAAGUUCUCAACAUCUCACUAAGCUGCAACAACAAGACUUAAAGUCCCUUUUGGGGGAAUAUGAGAUAUUGUUUGCAACCCCUAAUACCUUACCUCCUAAUAGGUUGCAUGAUCAUAGAAUUCCCUUGAUAGCAGGAAGAAGUAAACCUCCAAAUACGCCUUUAUAGAUAUGGUCCAGUGCAAAAAUCAGAGUUUGAAAAAUGUGUUCAGGAGUUUUUACAAGCUGGUUUUAUUAGGGAAAGUAAUAGCCCUUAUUCAUCUCUAGUAAUGUUAGUGAGGAAGAAAGAAGGGACAUGGAGGAUGUGUAUGGAUUAUAGGGGUCUGAAUGGCAUCACUAUCAAAGACAAAUUUCCAAUUCCUUUGAUUGAUGAACUUCUGGAUGAAUAGUUUGGUGUUCAAUUAUUUCUAGAUUUAAGAGCUGGUUAUCAUCAAAUUAGGAUGUAUCAUAAUGAUAUAGAGAAUACAGCUUUUAGAACACAUGAUGGCCAUUAUGAAUUUUUGGUCAUGCUAUUUGGUUUAACGAAUGCUCCUGCCACAUUUCAGUGUUUGAUGAAUGAAAUUUUCUGACCAUUUUUGAAAAAGUUCAUCUUGGUGUUUUUUGAUGACAUUUUGGUAUAUAGUGCUACUUGGGAAUUGCCCCUGCAACACUUGAGGGUAGUAUUUGAUCUGUUGAAAGCUCACAGUUUGUUUGUUAAGAAAUCGAAAUGUGCCUAUGGGAGGGAUAAAGUUGAAUAUUUGGGACAUAUUGUGUCCAAAGAUAGGGUAGUUGCCGACCCUACCAAGUUGGAUUCAAUUGCUAACUGGCCUAUCCCUACUACAGAAAGUUUAUUCCCCAUUUUGGCAAAAUUAUAGGUACCUUGAUUGCCUUGACCAAGAAGGACAGUUUUAUUUGGUCUGAGGAAGCUACACAGGCCUUUAACACUCUUAAAGUAGCCAUGCUUUCCCCUCAAGUUUUAGCUCUACCUAAUUUCAGUAAGCCCUUCAUUAUUGAGAGUGGUGCAUCUGGACAUGGCAUUGGAGCAAUAUUACAACAAGAAGGCAGGCCCAUUGCUUUUACAAGCAAAGCCCUUAGCCCCAGAAAUCAAACUAUGUCAGCAUAUGAACGGGAAAUGUUGGCAAUCAUUCAUGCAAUUCACAAAUGGCAGUCUUAUUUGGUGGGGAACCAUUUUAUAAUUCUCACACAUCAUCACAGCUUGAAAUAUUUCUUACAAGGAAGAGCUCACACACCUUUUAAGCAAAAAUGGGUGUCUAAACUCAUGGGCUUCGAUUAUGAAAUUCAAUAUAAGCAAGGCUGUGACAACCAAGCUGCUGAUGCAUUAUCAUGUAGUCCUUUAACUACUGAUCUAACUAUUGAGUUCCGGUGUGAUUCCAUUGUUUGUGCAGCUAUUUCCUACCCUUAUUCAACAUGGAUUGAUGACCUUAUGAGACAUGUUGAAAAAGACACUUGGGUGAUUGAAAAAACACAGAAAGUUCUUAGUGAUACCUCAGAUGGGGGACCACUUGGCAAUCUCAGGUUUCAAGUGGAUAAUGGGUUUCUUAAGUACAAUGGUCAAAUUGUACUCAGCCCUUGUAGUUCAUGGAAAUAAAAAAUCUUUGAGGAACAUCAUGCAACCCCACCUGAAGGCCAUGAAGGUUUUCUUAAAACCUAUGAAAGAAUCUCACGAUCAUUCUAUUGGGAAGGAAUGAAGAAAGACAUCAAAAAGUUAGUAGCAUCUUGUAGUGUCUGCCAACAACAUAAGUAUGAAACCUUAUCUCCGGCUGGUUUCCUUCAGCCAUUACCUAUUCCAUCCAAAGUAUGGUCUGAUAUCUCCAUGGAUUUCAUUGUGGGGCUUCCUUCUUGCAAAGGGAAAACAAUGAUCUGGGUUGUAGUAGAUCAGCUAUCCAAGUAUGCUCAUUUCCUAGCUCUAUCUCAUCCUUUCACAGCAUCCAUGAUUGCACAACUUUUCAUUGAUAACAUUUUUAAGUUGCAUGGUAUGCCCAGUUCUAACUCCGCCUAUGUCUUACAUGGCCGGUCCCAAGCCCGGAUAAAGGAGGAGGGGGAGGGCGUCAGGUAGUCGACAGCCGGCACUCCAUGAUCACGUCGAAUCCUUAUGAAAAUGAAUCCAGAACAAAAUCGCGCUAAAGCUAGGGCGUCACCCGUAAGUGGCGCGCUGUGUGGCCUGAGCACAGUGAUAAGUGAGCAAGGGUCGCUGUAUCUCCAUCGGCACCCGGAUGCAGUGUUAAAUGAGCAAGGGGGCCAUAGAAACUUCUUUUCGAACGACUCCACUCAAAGUUGUUUGGGAGCAUAUGCUCCUAUCAACUUUACCCGGGACACACAAAAAGAAGUACUUUGAUCCUAUUAGACGGGGGAGGGUGAAAGAAGCUAGGACAGAAGGGUAGAGUUCAAGAGAGCAAAAUGCGUUUAGGAACGUGGAAUAUAGGAACCUUAACGGGAAAAUCUAUGGAAGUAGUGGAAGUUAUGGUGAGGAGAAGGAUAAAUAUUAUGUGCCUACAAGAAACUAAGUGGGUUGGUAGUAAGGCAAAGGAUCUAGAAAACUCAGGGUUUAAACUUUGGUAUUCGGGCACAAAUAGAACGAGAAACGGUGUUGGCAUCAUCGUGGACAAGACCUUGGUACAAGAUGUUGUAGAUGUCAAGAGGGUAGGAGAUAGAAUCAUGGCAAUCAAGAUUGUAAUAGGACAAGAACUUAUCAAUGUGAUUAGUGCGUACGCACCUCAAGUAGGGUUGGAUACGAGUUCGAAGGAGAAAUUUUGGGAAGAUCUUGGAGACUUGGUGCAAGGAAUUGCUCAGACGGAGAAGUUAUUAUAUAGGAGGAGAUUUAAAUGGACACGUGGGCAGGGAGACAGGCAACUAUGGAGGUUUUCAUGGUGGCCAUGGUUUUGGGGAGAGAAACGAGGAUGGGGAAGCUAUCUUGGAUUUUGCAAUGGCAUAUGAUCUCUUCUUAGCCAACACCUUCUUUAAGAAGAGAGAAGAACAUGUGAUCACCUACAAGAGUGGGUCGUCAAAAACACAAAUAGAUUUUCUUCUAAUGAGGAAAGGGGAUCGUAUAACUUGUAAGGAUUGCAAAGUUAUACCAGGAGAGAGCGUGGCUAAUCAACAUCGCUUGUUGGUGAUGGAUGUACAUAUCAAAAGAGUAAGACAAAAGAACAAGACUUGGAAGUGCCCAAGGACUAGAUGGUGGAAUCUAAAAAGAAGAAAAACAAGCCAUUUUCAAAGAGAAGGUAAUCACCCAAUGUGUGUGGGAUAGAGAGGGGGAAGCUAGCCAAAUGUGGGAUUCCAUGUUGGAAUAAGAGCUAGUUGCAUCCGAAAGAGGUAGCAAAAGAGGUAUUAGGAGAGUCCAAGGGCUUUGCCCCACACCAAAAGGAAUCUUGGUGGUGGAAUGAGGAGGUACAAACAAAGGUGAAGGCUAAGAAGGAAUGUUGUAAAGCCUUAUACAAGGAGAGGACUGAUGAAAAUGGUGAAAGGUAUAGAAAAGCGAAGCAAGAGGCGAAGAAAGCUGUCAGAGAAGCUAAGUUAGCGGCUUACGACGAUAUGUAUAAACGACUAGAUACCAAAGAAGGAGAGUUGGAUAUCUAUAUAAACUAUCUAGAGCAAGGGAAAAGAAGACAAGGGACCUAAACCAAGUGAGGUGCAUCAAGGAUGAGGAUGAGGAUGGAAAGGUUCUUGCUACAGAGAACGCGGUUAAAGACAGAUGGAGAGGUUAUUUUCAUAAUCUUUUCAAUGAUGAAGGACAUGAAAUGAGUGCUUCUUUAGGGGAGUUGAGUAACUCAGAAGAGUGUAGAAACUACUCUUUUUAUCGUCGAAUCCGGAAGGAAGAAGUGGUUGUAGCUUUGAAGAAGAUGAAGCAUAAAAAAGCAAUAGGCCCAGACGAUAUACCAAUCGAAGUGUGGAAACUUUUGGGAGAGACAGGUAUAACAUGGCUCACUGACCUUUUCAAUAGGAUUUUGAAAACGAAGAAGAUGCCAAAUGAGUGGCGAAUGAGCACUUUGGUGCCUAUCUACAAGAAUAAGGGCGACGUACAAAAUUGCAUGAACUAUAUAGGGGUAUUAAGCUAAUGAGUCAUCAUACAAUGAAGCUCUGGGAGAGAGUCAUUGAGCAUAGAUUGAGGCAAGAGACACGGUUUCGGACAACCAAUUUCGGGUUCAUGCCAGGGCGCUCAACCAUGGAGGCAAUCUAUCUCUUACGAAGAUUGAUGGAAAGAUAUAGAGAUGGGAAAAAGGAUUUACACAUGGUCUUUAUAGAUUUGGAAAAAGCGUAUGAUAGGGUCCCAAGAGACAUUCUUUGGAGGAUUUUAGAGAAGAAAGGAGUACGAGUAGCAUAUAUCCAAGCUAUAAAGGAUAUGUAUGAAGGAGCAAAGACUGCCGUAAGAACUCAUGAAGGACAAACCGAAAGCUUUCCCAUAACUGUAGGAUUACAUCAAGGCUCAUCCUUAAGUCCUUACCUUUUUGCGUUGGUAAUGGAUGAGUUAACAGGACAUAUUCAAGAUGAUAUUCCUUGGUGUAUGCUUUUCGCAGACGAUAUAGUGUUGAUAGAUGAAACUCAGGAAGGGGUAAAUGCAAAGCUUAACCUUUGGAGAGAAGUGUUGGAAUCUAAAGGUCUUCGCCUAAGCCGAUCAAAGACAGAAUAUAUGGAGUGCAAGUUCAGUGCAAAUGGAGGCCAAAACGAGUUAGGGGUGAGGAUCGGAGAUCAAGAAAUACCAAAGAGCGACCGUUUUCGUUACCUAGGAUCUAUCUUGCAAAAGAACGGAGAAUUAGAUGGAGAUCUCAACCAUAGAAUACAAGCUGGAUGGAUGAAGUGGAAGAGUGCAUCCGGCGUGUUGUUGUGUGACCGCCGUAUGCCACUGAAGCUCAAGGGAAAAUUUUAUAGGACGGCAAUAAGGCCGGCGAUGCUGUAUGGCACAGAAUGUUGGGCGGUGAAACAUCAACACGUACACAAAAUGGGUGUAGCGGAGAUGAGGAUGCUUCGUUGGAUGUGUGGGCACACGAGAAAGGAUAAGAUUAGGAAUGAGGAUAUCCGGGGUAAAGUAGGAGUAGCCGAAAUUGAAGGAAAGAUGAGAGAAAAUCGGUUACGGUGGUUUGGACAUGUGCAAAGAAGGCCUACUGACGCUCCGAUUAGAAGAUGCGACUAUGGGACAGAGGUUCAGGGCCGAAGGGGUAGAGGAAGACCUAGGAAAACUUUGGAAGAGACUCUAAGAAAAGACUUAGAGUACUUGGAUCUAACGAAGGACAUGACACAGGAUCGAGCACAAUGGCGUUCUAAGAUUCAUAUAGCCGAUCCCACUCAGUGACUUGGAUUUUCCAAGUCUCCAACCGAGAAGUUUUCCUCACUCGGGAAAUUAAGGGAACACUACCCCAACCUACAUGCUCCACUCAGAAAGCUUCAACAUACAAGCUUCAACAAAAGAAAAUUCAAAGAACUUAGCGAAGAAGGCUUUGGUGUAUUUAACACAAUACGUUGAAAUGAAGGAAAGCUUAUUUAUUGAUAUCCCCGAUAAGCUACAAAUAUGUACAUAUACAUGAGUCAAAAUAAACAACACAAGAGGGAGCCUUCACAAAGGUUGCUUAGGAGAAGUCUCAGCAGUCGGUAGAGCCCCAGAAAGAGAAGGCACCGGAGGGGGAUCAUUUGGAGCCUCAGUACUGGACAGAACCCUAGAAGGAGGAGGCAUCAGAGGUUGAUCAUUUGGAGCUUCAUUACGCGGUACAGCCCCAGAAGACGAAGGCAAUAAAUGCCUUUGGAACAAACCCACAAAUCUCUGAUGAUCAAGUAAAACCUGACCAUCAGUUUCCUUCAUCUGGUCAAGCUUCCUCUUCAUGUUUGUAGCAUAGUCAUGUGCGAGCCGGUGCAACUGUUUAUUCUCAUGCUUGAGCCCUCUAAUCUCCUGUUUGAGACUCAUCACUUCAGCCGCCAAUGAUUCAACUUGGCGGGUUCGAGCAAAUAGGCGUUGGGCCAUAUUAGACACAGAACCUGCACACUGAACACUGAGAGCCAGCGAAUCCUUAACAGCUAACUCAUCAGACCGUUUGGAAAGUAGUCUGUUAUCUUUGGGAGUGAGAAGGUUCCUGGCCACCACCGCAGCGGUCAUAUCAUUCUUCAUCACGGAAUCCCCAACGGUAAGAGGACCAGUAGGGGAGACGAAGGAUGGGCGCCAUAUGUUGUCUGGAGAAGGCGGGGCUGCCUCUUCAACAAGGUUCAAGUCAAAACGACGGUCGGAGGGGCCAGACAUUUUCAAAGGUGUUGAAGAGAGAAGAGGUCGGACAAAUCAAGAUCUUAGAAGUGCAAGAAUGAAGCUUCUACUGGUGGAGAUUCAAGUGUGCUUUGGAACUUAAUGCCAGCCCCUAUAAAAAUCUGCACUCGACGGAAGCUUCAGAAAUCGAAGAGGCGCCUGCUCAGAAAUCGAAGAGGCGUUUGCUUUCUCAAAAGCUGGGCUGCUUAGAGAUCACGAGGGUUGAUCUCAGAAAUCGAAGAGGCGUUUGCUUUCUCAAAAGUUGGGCUGCUCAAAGACCACGAAGGCCGAUCUCAGAAAUCGAAGAGGCGCUCGCUUUCUCAAAAGCUGGGCUCCCCAGAGACCACGAGGGCCGAUCUCAGAAAUCGAAGAGGCACCUACUUUUCCAGCCUUUUCCAGCCUUGUCAGCACCUGUCACACGCACACUCAGCUUUGCGGAAAUUAUGGGCAUUCUGUCGAAGACUUCUGGGGAAGUAGAAAACACAUGAAUCUUACUGUUCAAUCACCCACUUCCCACACGCAACAAUAGCUCAUGGGUACCACAGAUAACUUUGCCAAAGUUCUCUGCCAAAGUUGAGCACGUGAAGCUUGCAGCUCCCACUACAUCGCUCUGACCAAGAAGGGUAAAAGAAUAGCAAAGAAACAGCACUAACAAAGUUUAGACCCAUAAAUUUUGAAGGUCUAGCUACCAUAUUAUUACCCACAAGGGUAAAGGAACAGUACCACUGCUGGAUAAUUGGAAAGUCCCUGUGUGUCAACCUCUGUGCUUCGUGGCAAGGUAGACUAGCAAACAUGCCCAACCUUUACUCACAUUCGAGAAAACACUCCCAAUAAGAUUGCUUGCUCCAAAAUCGAAGAGGCACCGUCCUCCGAAUCUCGAGAGCCAGACUCCCAACAUGACUACUUUCUUAAAAAUCGAAGAGAGGGUAAAGGAACAGUACCAUUGCUGGAUAAUUGGAAAGUCCCUGUGUGUCAACCUCUGUGCUUCGUGGCAAGGUAGACUAGCAAACAUGCCCAACCUUUACUCACAUUCGAGAAAACACUCCCAACAAGAUUGCUUGCUCCAAAAUCGAAGAGGCACCGCCCUCCGAAUCUCGAGAGCCAGACUCCCAACAUGAUUACUUUCUCAAAAAUCGAAGAGACACUGCUCCCCGAAUCUCGAGAGCCAGACCCCCAGCAUGAUUGCUUUCUCAAAAAUCGAUGAGGCAUCGUUCUCCGAAUCAAUCGAAGAGGCGCUCGCUUUCUCAAAAGCUGGGCUGCUCAGAGACCACGAGGGCCGAUCUCAGAAAUCGAAGAGGCACCUACUUUUCUAGCCUUGUCAGCACCUGUCACACGCACACUCAGCUUUGCAGAAAUUAUGGGCAUUCUGUCGAAGACUUCUGGUGAAGUAGAAAGCACAUGAAUCUUACUGUUCAAUCACCCACUUCCCACACGCAACAAUAGCUCAUGGGUACCACAGAUAACUUUGCCAAAGUUCUCUGCCAAAGUUGAGCACGUGAAGCUUGCAGCUCCCACUACAUCGCUCUGACCAAGAAAGGUAAAAGAAUAGCAAAGAAACAGCACUAACAAAAGUUUAGACACAUAAAUUUUGAAGGUCUAGCUACCAUAUUAUUACCCACAAGGGUAAAGGAACAGUACCACUGCUGGAUAAUUGGAAAGUCCCUGUGUGUCAACCUCUGUGCUUCGUGGCAAGGUAGACUAGCAAACAUGCCCAACCUUUACUCACAUUCGAGAAAACACUCCCAACAAGAUUGCUUGCUCCAAAAUCGAAGAGGCACCGUCCUCCGAAUCUCGAGAGCCAGACUCCCAACAUGACUACUUUCUCAAAAUCGAAGAGAGGGUAAAGGAACAGUACCAUUGCUGGAUAAUUGGAAAGUCCCUGUGUGUCAACCUUUGUGCUUCGUGGCAAGGUAGACUAGCAAACAUGCCCAACCUUUACUCACAUUCGAGACAACACUCCCAACAAGAUUGCUUGCUCCAAAAUCGAAGAGGCACCGCCCUCCGAAUCUCGAGAGCCAGACUCCCAACAUGAUUACUUCCUCAAAAAUCGAAGAGACACUGCUCUCCGAAUCUCGAGAGCCAGACCCCCAGCAUGAUUGCUUUCUCAAAAAUCGAAGAGGCAUCGUUCUCCGAAUCUCGAGAGCCAGAUACCACAGACCACUUUUUCAAAGUGCUCUGACAGAGUUAAAACAUGUGAAACUGGCAGCUCCCACUACCGUGCUAUGACCAAGCAGGGUAAAGGAAUAGCAUUACUACUUGUUGUUAGGGAGACUCCUAUAUAUGUCGACCUCCAUCCCCAACGGACAGGCAGACCUGCAAAAAUGCUCAACCCUUCAUCAUAUCUGAGAGGGCACUCCCAACGAAGCCUUUCGAAAUAUUCAGCUUUCUUUCCCCCCGAUAAUACCUCUGCAAACAAGCUAUACUAGAGCAAGAAUAUCUCAUAUCAUCAGGGUUAAAAGCAAGAGUAUCCCAUAUCAUGCUUUUUUCCCUGUCUUUUCCUUUGGCCUUGUUUUUACCUGCAAGACAAGGAGAAAGAGAGCAAUCAGUCAGCACUUGGAAUCAAGCUUCCAGCCAGGAACUGACUGCCUGGAACCCCUUACCUGAUUACUUACCUGGCAUUGCUCUCGAGUACUCAUCUUCAACAUCUUAUGUUUCCAGGGAAGAUUCCGCAUCUGCUUGAGGAACAGAUAGGGCAAGUGCGAAGGAUACAAGGAAGCAUGUGGAGACAAGCGUAACAGCACACGUGCCGAUACAUCCAUUACUCUGUCAAAAGCAAAAGUAUCCCAUAUCAGCAGGGUGGAACGUACUCUAGAUUUGAUGGACUUGUUUUGACCCUCAAAUUCUUCAGUCGGCCUUAUACUCUGGAGGAAACCAGAAAACCCUCCAGCUCAGUUCAAGAAUAAGCCUGUGGAAAGUUACUUCUUCAAAAGCAAAAGUAUCUCAUAUCAUCUCUUCUCAUUUUUCUUCUCUUUAUCCUUCAUGCUGCUGCAAGAUGGGGAGAAGGUGAACAAUCAGUCGGAGCUCUGAUUGCUUACCUUGUCUGUCACCUCUUUCAGCAGACCCCCUAGCUCGGCGACUUGGGGGACUCCUACUACAUGGUUUGUAUCGCGCUUGACCAAGCCUGAAACUACAAGUAAGCUUCAAGUGAAAUUGAUACAUUACCUUGUGCAUCUCCACCAGUUAAAGAUACCACCCCUGGAUGGAGGAAGAGUACUUCCAGAGAAGAUGCCACAUCUACCUAUGAGACAGAUAAGGCAAGUCAAGACGAUACCACACUCCGAUACUUAGAAGUUUCGUGAUUACGAGAUCAUUCUCCCACAAUAUUUCCUAAUGUCAUUUGUACUAAAUCAUUCACUUGUACUCACUAAAGGAGAGCUUGAACCUAUGUACUUGUGUAAACCCUUCACAAUUAAUGAGAACUCUUCUAUUCCGUGGACGUAGCCAAUCUGGGUGAACCACGUACAUCUUGUGUUUGCUUUCCUAUCUCUAUCCAUUUAUAUACUUAUCCACACUAAUGACCGGAGCAAUCUAGCGAAGAUCACAAAAAGCGACCGUUUUCGCUACCUAGGAUCUAUCUUGCAAGAGAACGGAGAAUUAGAUGGAGAUCUCAACCAUAGAAUACGAGCUGGAUGGAAAGAGUGCAUCCGGCGUGUUGUGUGACCGUCGUAGGCCACUGAAGCUCAAGGGAAAAUUUUAUAGGACGGCAAUAAGGCCAGCGAUGUUGUAUGGCACAGAAUGUUGGGCGGUGAAGCAUCAACACGUACACAAAAUGGGUGUAGCGGAGAUGAGGGAUGCUUCGUGGGAUGUGUGGGCACACGAGAAAGGAUAAGAUUGAGAAUGAGGAUAUCCGAGGUAAAGUAGGAGUAGCCGAAAUUGUAGGAAAUAUGAGAGAAAAUCGGCUCCGGUGAUUUUGAACAUGUGCAAAGAAGGCCGACUGACGCUCCGGUUCGAAGAUGUGACUACGGGACAGAGGUUCAGGGCCGAAGGGGUAGAGGAAGACCUAGGACAACUUUGGAAGAGACUCUAAGAAAAGACUUAGAGUACUUGGAUCUAAAGGAGGACAUGACACAAAACCGAGCGCAAUGGCGUUCUAGGAUUCAUAUAGCCGACCCCACUUAGUGGGAAAAGGCUUUGUUGUUGUUGUUGUUGUUGUAUGGUAUGCCCAGUUCUAUCAUCAGUGAUAGAGAUCCCAUUUUUAUGAGUAAAUUCUGGAAAACGUUUUUUGCACUAUAAGGGUCAGCUCUUUGCUUUAGCUCAAGGUAUCACCCUCAAACCGAUGGUCAAACAGAAGUGUUGAACAGGUGUCUUGAAACAUAUCUCUGGUGUUUUUGCAGUUUGCAGCCUAAAAAAUAGCUACAUUGGUUGUCUUGGGCAUAAUGGAGUUUCAACACUAGUUAUCACAUUGCCACCAAAUUAACACCUUAUGAGAUAGUGUAUGGUCAGGCUCCUCCAGUGGUUCCUUCUUAUGGAAAUGGCACUACAAAGGUAGCGUCAGUGGAUCAAUGCUUGCAGGAAAAAAACAUGAUGUUAUCUAUUCUCAAAGCUUAUUUGAUAGCAGCUCAAUGUAGAAUGAAGGUCCAGUUUGACAAGAAACGAACUGAAAGGCAGUUUAAGGUUGGUGAUUUUGUAUAUUUGAGGUUGGUGCCUUAUCAGUACAUGUCCUUAGCUUCUCACUCCUUUAGCAAAUUACAACUAGGGAUGGGCAAAUACCCAUUGGUUACGGGUAACCACGGUUACCCGUCUAUUUAAAUUAAACGGUUACUGUUAUGGGUAACCGUUUAGAUAAAUAAACGGUUAUGAGUAUAACCGUUUACCCGCGAAAUUUAAGUGGGUGGUUAUGGAUAUUAACCACGGUUAUAAACGGGUAACCAUUUACCCAUUUAUUUUAUAUAUGUAAAACUAACACAAACCAUGUUCUCGAUUCAAUAAUACUUAGCACCCAAUAAAUUAGCAAGGAAUUCAUCGGCCAUUCUCUCAAUAACACUACUACAGGAAUGAUGAUUCUCAUCAUUAAGGAAUUGGCCAAAUUAAUUUAAAUUCCUUGCGGGUAACCGUGAAAUUGACAGAAAUGCUUUGACAGAAAUGUCUUCUAAACAAUUUUUGUAACCCAAUAAUACUUGGCAAAUAUUAUAUUUACCUUCAUCGAUAACAGUUAAAAAUAUCGUCUGUAAAUUAUUGUUUAAAUUAUUGGAAUGAUAUAAGGAUUCAAAAAAUUAAAAUAUGGAAAUGUAUGAUGAAUGCACCGUGUUUAAUUGUCAAAAAAAAAAUUAUGAUAAUUUUUUUUAUUAUUUUCAAGUUGUUAAAAAACAUGUAGACUGGUGAAAAAAAAGGUAAUGGUUAAAAAAAAAAGAUAAACAGGUUAAAAAAGAUAAAUGGGUAAACAGGUAUUAAACGGUUACGGUUAAAUCUGUAUACGGUUAUGGAUAUGAGUAUAACAGUUUAGGCAAUUACCCAACGGAUAAAUGGUUAUACGGGUAUGAAUAUAAAUGGUUAUGGGUAAAUUAACCGCAGUUACCCGCCCCCAUAACAUUACCCAUCUCUAAUUACAACCUCGUUUUUAUGGACCCUUUGAGGUGAUAGCUAAAGUGGGACAUGUGGCUUAUAAACUGAAGCUUCCUGACAGUUCCAAACUGCAUCCAGUUUUCCAUGUUUCUUGUCUCAAAAAGCAUUUGGGUUCUCAGCAUAGCCCUACCACGCCACUUCCAAUCAUUACUGAGAAAGGAAUAUUACAGGACAUUCCAAUUGCCAUUCUAGACAGAAGGUUGGUGAAGAAGGGAAAUGCUGCAAUUACGGAAGUCUUCGUCCAAUGGCAGAAUCAUACUCCAGAAGACGCUACCUGGGAACCAUAUCCUGACUUGAAAUCGAAGUUUCCAGAAGUUGCUAAUCUCUAAGUCCUGUUCGAUGUACUGUUCAAUUUUUUUCCAGCUGCUUUGGAUUCACAUUUUACUGUUUUCUGCUGUAAUAAGUCAGUUUUCAAGGGGGGUAUUAUCAGGAUGCCACUUGUCAUCAUCUCAAUAGGACAAAUGUAAGGUUGAGAUGCUAUAAUAGUAGAUAAGAUGGUUGUAAGUUGUUAGAUGAUAGCUUACAGAGGAAGCUAAGUAGUUUACAUAUAAGAAAGUCGGUUGUAAUUGGGAGGAGGUCAUUGGAAUAAUCUCUGUGUAAUACAAGAAAGUACCAUGCAAUUGUGAAGAAGCCGAGCAAGGUUUUAA